Molecule: ribosomal RNA, 397 nt
Filed under: uncultured bacterium
Lineage: Bacteria
Description: partial 16S ribosomal RNA
Rfam family: Bacterial small subunit ribosomal RNA
Source: RNAcentral
CUACGUAGGGGGCGAGCGUUGUCCGGAAUGAUUGGGCGUAAAGGGCGCGUAGGCGGCCCGGUAAGUCUGGAGUGAAAGUCCUGUUUUUAAGAUGGGAAUUGCUUUGGAUACUGUCGGGCUUGAGUGCAGGAGAGGUUAUCGGAAUUCCCGGUGUAGCGGUGAAAUGCGUAGAGAUCGGGAGGAACACCAGUGGCGAAGGCGGGUAACUGGACUGCAACUGACGCUGAGGCGCGAAAGUGUGGGGAGCAAACAGGAUUAGAUACCCUGGUAGUCCACACUGUAAACGAUGAAUGCUAGGUGUAAGAGGUAUCGACCCCUUUUGUGCCGGAGUCAACACAAUAAGCAUUCCGCCUGGGGAGUACGGCCGCAAGGUUGAAACUCAAAUGAAUUGACGGGG